This 374-nucleotide unclassified non-coding RNA is filed under the name soil metagenome. Its description in RNAcentral is "partial contains internal transcribed spacer 2 and large subunit ribosomal RNA". The stretch from base 1 to 120 matches the Rfam family "5.8S ribosomal RNA", at positions 35 to 154 of the family's 154-position model. The record is from RNAcentral.
GAUGAAGAACGUAGCGAAAUGCGAUAAUUAAUGUGAAUUGCAGAAUUCCGUGAAUCAUCGAGUCUUUGAACGCACAUUGCGCCUCAUGGCAUUCCGUGAGGCAUGCCCAUCUCAGCGUUAGAAAAUAUUCUCAAAUUUUAGUUUUGUGCUAAAAUUUGGAUCAUGUCAAGGAAGCUAUUACUAUUAUUGUGAUCGCUCUUUGGAAAUUGAUAGGUCUUUGAGUUGCUGCUCAUAGAACGUGAUGAAUCUUUCUUCGUUCUAUUGUAAUUCACUCUGGUAGUCCUAAAACUUGUAUGCCUGUGGCAUAUCUUGUAAUUUGACCUGAGAUUGGGUAGGGAUACCCGCUGAACUUAAGCAUAUCAAUAAGCGGAGGA